RNAcentral lists this unclassified non-coding RNA (404 nucleotides) under soil metagenome. RNAcentral describes it as "partial contains 5.8S ribosomal RNA, internal transcribed spacer 2, and large subunit ribosomal RNA". The stretch from base 3 to 121 matches the Rfam family "5.8S ribosomal RNA", at positions 37 to 154 of the family's 154-position model. The record is from RNAcentral.
GGUGAAGAACGUAGCGAAAUGCGAUAAGUAAUGUGAAUUGCAGAAUUCAGUGAAUCAUCGAAUCUUUGAACGCACCUUGCGCCCUUUGGCUAUUCCGAAGGGCAUGCCUGUUUGAGUAUCAUGAACACCUCAACUCUCAUGGUUUGCCAUGAUGAGCUUGGACUUUGGGGGUCUUGCCGGCCUAUGGGUCGGCUCCUCUCAAAUUAAUCAGCUUGCCAGUGUUUGGUGGCAUCACAGGUGUGAUAACUAUCUACGCUUGUGGUUUUCCAUCAGGUAACCUUCAGUGAUGGAGGUUCGCUGGGGCUCAUAAAUGUCUCUCCUCAGUGAGGACAGCUUUUUUGAACGUUUGAUCUCAAAUCAGGUAGGACUACCCGCUGAACUUAAGCAUAUCAAUAAGCGGAGGA